CACGUAGGGCGCGAGCGUUGUCCGGAAUUAUUGGGCGUAAAGAGCUCGUAGGCGGCCUGUUGCGUCCGUUGUGAAAGCCCGGGGCUUAACCCCGGGUCGGCAGUGGAUACGGGCAGGCUAGAGGUAGGUAGGGGAGAAUGGAAUUCCCGGUGUAGCGGUGAAAUGCGCAGAUAUCGGGAGGAACACCGGUGGCGAAGGCGGUUCUCUGGGCCUUACCUGACGCUGAGGAGCGAAAGCGUGGGGAGCGAACAGG
Molecule: ribosomal RNA, 253 nt
Filed under: uncultured bacterium
Lineage: Bacteria
Description: partial 16S ribosomal RNA
Rfam family: Bacterial small subunit ribosomal RNA
Source: RNAcentral